UGGGGAAUAUUGCACAAUGGGCGAAAGCCUGAUGCGGCGACGCCGCGUGAGGGAUGACGGCCUUCGGGUUGUAAACCUCUUUCAGCAGGGACGAAGCGCAAGUGACGGUACCUGCAGAAGAAGCACCGGCUAACUACGUGCCAGCAGCCGCGGUAAUACGUAGGGUGCAAGCGUUGUCCGGAAUUACUGGGCGUAAAGAGUUCGUAGGCGGUUUGUCGCGUCGUUUGUGAAAACCAGCAGCUCAACUGCUGGCUUGCAGGCGAUACGGGCAGACUUGAGUACUGCAGGGGAGACUGGAAUUCCUGGUGUAGCGGUGAAAUGCGCAGAUAUCAGGAGGAACACCGGUGGCGAAGGCGGGUCUCUGGGCAGUAACUGACGCUGAGGAACGAAAGCGUGGGUAGCGAACAGG
This 409-nucleotide ribosomal RNA is filed under the name bacterium. Its description in RNAcentral is "partial 16S ribosomal RNA". It matches the Rfam family "Bacterial small subunit ribosomal RNA", at positions 355 to 776 of the family's 1533-position model. The record is from RNAcentral.